GUACAAAGAGCUGCAAGACCGCGAGGUGGAGCUAAUCUCAUAAAACCGUUCUCAGUUCGGAUUGUAGGCUGCAACUCGCCUACAUGAAGCUGGAAUCGCUAGUAAUCGCGGAUCAGCAUGCCGCGGUGAAUACGUUCCCGGGCCUUGUACACACCGCCCGUCACACCACGAGAGUUUGUAACACCCGAAGUCGGUGGGGUAACCUUUAUGGAGCCAGCCGCCUAAGGUGGGACAGAUGAUUGGGGUGAAGUCGUAACAAGGUAGCCGUAUCGGAAGGUGCGGCUGGAUCACCUCCUUU
RNAcentral lists this ribosomal RNA (298 nucleotides) under Bacillus sp. TH44. Its description in RNAcentral is "partial 16S ribosomal RNA". It matches the Rfam family "Bacterial small subunit ribosomal RNA", at positions 1237 to 1533 of the family's 1533-position model. Lineage: Bacteria; Bacillati; Bacillota; Bacilli; Caryophanales; Bacillaceae. The record is from RNAcentral.